GACGAACGCUGGCGGCGUGCUUAACACAUGCAAGUCGAGCGGAGCGGCGAACGGGUGCGUAACGCGUGAGUAACUGCCCCCCUCCCUGUGAUAACAGUUGGAAACGGCUGCUAAUACCGGAUAGUGGGGGAUGACUCGCGUCCUAUCAGCUUGUUGGUUGGGUAGUGGCCUACCAAGGCGACGACGGGUGGCCGGCCUGAGAGGGCGACCGGCCACAUUGGGCAGAGUGACGGCCGAAACUCCAACGGGGGGCAGCAGUGGGGGAUAUUGCACAAUGGGGGAAACCCUGGUGCAGCGACGCCGCGUGCGGGAGUACGGCCUUCGGGUUGUAAACCGCUUUCGGUCAUGACGCGGUAGUGGCAGAAGAAGCACCGGCUAACUACGUGCCAGCAGCCGCGGUAAUU
This 404-nucleotide ribosomal RNA is filed under the name uncultured bacterium. RNAcentral describes it as "partial 16S ribosomal RNA". It matches the Rfam family "Bacterial small subunit ribosomal RNA", at positions 28 to 525 of the family's 1533-position model. The record is from RNAcentral.